UGUUCCCAAGGAAUAUCAGUUUGGACGCUUUGGCUGUGGAUACCAUCAGAAUUCCACAGUUAAGCGUGCUCAUGUGCGAGUAGUACCAGGAUGGUUGACCUCCUAGGAAAUCUUCACUGGAGCAA
Helianthus annuus (common sunflower) is the source of this 125-nucleotide non-coding RNA. NCBI's taxonomy places the organism in Eukaryota, Viridiplantae, Streptophyta, Magnoliopsida, Asterales, Asteraceae. The record is from Rfam.